AAUUGGUGAUGUGGACAACUUUGACAUAAUCUCUUGUAUCGCUCCCAAUACUCAUAUAAAGUCUCACCUGCCAUUUGAAUAAUGCCACAUAUCUCUUUUCUGAUUUU
Molecule: small nucleolar RNA, 107 nt
Organism: Papaver somniferum (opium poppy)
Lineage: Eukaryota; Viridiplantae; Streptophyta; Magnoliopsida; Ranunculales; Papaveraceae
Source: RefSeq, a predicted model, not a curated record